UAGCAUAAAUUGUGACUAGGUGUGAAA
This 27-nucleotide non-coding RNA is filed under the name Mus musculus (house mouse). The record is from RNAcentral. Lineage: Eukaryota; Metazoa; Chordata; Mammalia; Rodentia; Muridae.